AACCAAUUGGUGGCCUAAGUGGUCAGAACGUCCGCUUCAGAUGCGGGAGGGCGCGGGUUAGAACCCUGGCCGAGUCA
This is a non-coding RNA of Potamilus streckersoni, 77 nucleotides long. The record is from the annotation of a GenBank genome assembly. NCBI's taxonomy places the organism in Eukaryota, Metazoa, Mollusca, Bivalvia, Unionida, Unionidae.